RNAcentral lists this long non-coding RNA (722 nucleotides) under Oncorhynchus kisutch (coho salmon). Its description in RNAcentral is "lncRNA (ENSOKIG00005002122.1)". Lineage: Eukaryota; Metazoa; Chordata; Actinopteri; Salmoniformes; Salmonidae. The record is from RNAcentral.
GUAAAUGUUAUCGACAAGACAAAAUUGACAACAUAUCAACAAUUCCCUUUAGUGACCCCGGAGUUAUCAAGUCUCCCCAACAGCAACCUUUUCCUGGCUGCUAUUUCCUCCACCGUCACUUCAAGCUCUCGCUUGCUGAAGUUUGUAUUGCGCUUGCCUUUGUUAUCCAUUUUUGUUUUUGAUAUAGCUCGUCUGAUGGGUAUAAUGUGUAAAACACAACGUUUGUUUUUGUGUAUAAAGGCUUUGCGAGCCAACAGAAAGUAAUAUUCGAGACAUAAAGCAGAUAAAUAAAUGUAAUGAAAUGGAAAUGCUUUAUUAUAGUGGGCCAAAUUCUAUACUCCCUGUCAUAUAGGCUUAUUUAUUGGUUUCAAGCAUGUCACUAAUAUUUACAAAGUUCUUAGGAAUUAUAUUUUCAAAGUAGACAAACAGCUGUCUUACAAACUCAUCUUUUCCCCUGCUUGCAGCCUCAACCGUCCACCAAAGUCUGUUCUCCUGAGCUGCCCUGUGAUCUGCCAUUCCAAAAUACAGUGAGCAGUUACCUGCAAAUAAUUGUAUCAAUCCACACUGUCUUGUCUUUGGAUCUCUUAACCUGUCCCAGGUAGUAUAAUCAAGUCUACCCAACUGAUUUACAGAAUGAAAUAUUUUUGUUUGUUUUUGUAUUCUAUAUGUAACUCAUUGUUCUAUUUGUGAAGGAAAACACAACUGGACCAGUGGCACAGGAG